CCUACGGGGGGCAGCAGUGGGGAAUAUUGGACAAUGGGCGAAAGCCUGAUCCAGCCAUGCCGCGUGUGUGAAGAAGGCCUUCGGGUUGUAAAGCACUUUCAGUGGGGAAGAAAGCCUUGGGGCUAAUACCCUCGAGGAAGGACAUCACCCACAGAAGAAGCACCGGCUAACUCCGUGCCAGCAGCCGCGGUAAUACGGAGGGUGCGAGCGUUAAUCGGAAUUACUGGGCGUAAAGCGCGCGUAGGCGGUCUGAUAAGCCGGUUGUGAAAGCCCCGGGCUCAACCUGGGAACGGCAUCCGGAACUGUCAGGCUAGAGUGCAGGAGAGGAAGGUAGAAUUCCCGGUGUAGCGGUGAAAUGCGUAGAGAUCGGGAGGAAUACCAGUGGCGAAGGCGGCCUUCUGGACUGACACUGACGCUGAGGUGCGAAAGCGUGGGAAGCAAACAGGAUUAGAUACCCGUGUAGUC
This 465-nucleotide ribosomal RNA is filed under the name Vreelandella stevensii. RNAcentral's name for it is "partial 16S ribosomal RNA". It matches the Rfam family "Bacterial small subunit ribosomal RNA", at positions 338 to 795 of the family's 1533-position model. Lineage: Bacteria; Pseudomonadati; Pseudomonadota; Gammaproteobacteria; Oceanospirillales; Halomonadaceae. The record is from RNAcentral.